Non-coding RNA from Cinara cedri, 289 nucleotides. Lineage: Eukaryota; Metazoa; Arthropoda; Insecta; Hemiptera; Aphididae. The record is from the annotation of a GenBank genome assembly.
GGAAAAUCGAAAAACUACUUCCUUGAAAGAUUUCCUUUCAGAAAAAGUGCUAUCAUUUUAAAUCGAAAAGGAAUUGCUGGUAAAAAAGUUUGUACAACAAAUCAAAGGGUAUUUUGCGAUUAAAAUAGUCCGAGUGAGUGAUAGCUUGGGUCUCUAAGUAUACCCAAAAUGCAUUUGAUUUUCCUUGUUUAGGUAAAAGGGAAAAAAUUUCAAGUAAUUUUUUACAAAACACUAGUUUGUACUUGGAACCCCUAGGAAAAUAAAAGGCAUAAACUAGAUCACGACAAAU